UACAGAGGGGGCAAGCGUUGUUCGGAAUUACUGGGCGUAAAGGGCGCGUAGGCGGCCUUCUAAGUCGAACGUGAAAUCCCCGGGCUCAACCCGGGAACUGCGUCUGAUACUGGAUGGCUUGAAUCCGGGAGAGGGAUGCAGAAUUCCAGGUGUAGCGGUGAAAUGCGUAGAUAUCUGGAGGAAUACCGGUGGCGAGGGCGGCAUCCUGGACCGGCAUUGACGCUGAGGAGCGAAAGCUAGGGGAGCAAACGGG
Molecule: ribosomal RNA, 253 nt
Filed under: uncultured bacterium
Lineage: Bacteria
Description: partial 16S ribosomal RNA
Rfam family: Bacterial small subunit ribosomal RNA
Source: RNAcentral